GCCAGCAGCCAUAUCAACCUGCAAUCCCAAUUGGCUACCCACUGAAGUUAAGCAGGGUUGAGCCUUGGUUAGUACUUGGAUGGGAGACCUCCUGGGAAGUUAUGGUUGCUGCUGGAA
RNAcentral lists this ribosomal RNA (117 nucleotides) under Lepisosteus oculatus (spotted gar). The record is from RNAcentral. Lineage: Eukaryota; Metazoa; Chordata; Actinopteri; Semionotiformes; Lepisosteidae.